ACGUUAGCGGCGGACGGGUGAGUAACACGUGGGUAACCUACUAUAAGACUGGGAUAACUUCGGGAAACCGGAGCUAAUACCGGAUAAUAUUUCGAACCGCAUGGUUCGAUAGUGAAAGAUGGUUUUGCUAUCACUUAUAGAUGGACCUGCGCCGUAUUAGCUAGUUGGUAAGGUAACGGCUUACCAAGGCGACGAUACGUAGCCGACCUGAGAGGGUGAUCGGCCACACUGGAACUGAGACACGGUCCAGACUCCUACGGGAGGCAGCAGC
RNAcentral lists this ribosomal RNA (271 nucleotides) under uncultured Staphylococcus sp. Its description in RNAcentral is "partial 16S ribosomal RNA". It matches the Rfam family "Bacterial small subunit ribosomal RNA", at positions 89 to 355 of the family's 1533-position model. Lineage: Bacteria; Bacillati; Bacillota; Bacilli; Caryophanales; Staphylococcaceae. The record is from RNAcentral.